This 526-nucleotide ribosomal RNA is filed under the name uncultured bacterium. RNAcentral's name for it is "partial 16S ribosomal RNA". It matches the Rfam family "Bacterial small subunit ribosomal RNA", at positions 28 to 523 of the family's 1533-position model. The record is from RNAcentral.
GACGAACGCUGGCGGCGUGCCUAAUACAUGCAAGUCGAACGAAGCUUUUUUAACUGGUGCUUGCACCGACUUAAACAACUGAGUGGCGAACGGGUGAGUAACACGUGGGUAACCUGCCCCAAAGUGGGGGAUAACAUUUGGAAACAGAUGCUAAUACCGCAUAAUAGAUAGAACCACAUGGUUCUAUUUUGAAAGAUGGCCUUUGUGCUAUCACUUCUGGAUGGCCCCGCGGUGUAUUAGCUAGUUGGUAAGGUAACGGCUUACCAAGGCAAUGAUACAUAGCCGAACUGAGAGGUUGAUCGGCCACAAUGGGACUGAGACACGGCCCAUACUCCUACGGGAGGCAGCAGUAGGGAAUCUUCCACAAUGGGCGCAAGCCUGAUGGAGCAACACCGCGUGAGUGAAGAAGGGUUUCGGCUCGUAAAACUCUGUUGUCAGAGAAGAACGUGUGCGAGAGUAACUGCUCGUGCAGUGACGGUAUCUGGCCAGAAAGCCACGGCUAACUACGUGCCAGCCGCCGCCGUAA